AUUGAACGCUGGCGGCAGGCCUAACACAUGCAAGUCGAGCGGAUGAAGGGAGCUUGCUCCUGGAUUCAGCGGCGGACGGGUGAGUAAUGCCUAGGAAUCUGCCUGGUAGUGGGGGAUAACGUCCGGAAACGGGCGCUAAUACCGCAUACGUCCUGAGGGAGAAAGUGGGGGAUCUUCGGACCUCACGCUAUCAGAUGAGCCCAGGUCGGAUUAGCUAGUUGGUGGGGUAAAGGCCUACCAAGGCGACGAUCCGUAACUGGUCUGAGAGGAUGAUCAGUCACACUGGAACUUAGACACGGUCCAGACUCCUACGGGAGGCAGCAGUGGGGAAUAUUGGACGAUGGGCGAAAGCCUUCUCCAGCCAUGCCGCGUGUGUGAAGAAGAUCUUCAGAUUAUAAAGAUCUUGAAGUUGGGAGGAAGGGCAGUAAGUUAAUACCUUGCUGUUUUGACGUUACCAACAGAAUAAGCACCGGCUAACUUCGUG
RNAcentral lists this ribosomal RNA (484 nucleotides) under uncultured bacterium. RNAcentral describes it as "partial 16S ribosomal RNA". It matches the Rfam family "Bacterial small subunit ribosomal RNA", at positions 30 to 507 of the family's 1533-position model. The record is from RNAcentral.